GAGGACAUUACCGAGUUUACACUCCCAAACCCCUGUGAACAUACCAAUUGUUGCCUCGGCGGAUCAGCCCGCUCCCGGUAAAACGGGACGGCCCGCCAGAGGACCCCUAAACUCUGUUUCUAUAUGUAACUUCUGAGUAAAACCAUAAAUAAAUCAAAACUUUCAACAACGGAUCUCUUGGUUCUGGCAUCGAUGAAGAACGCAGCAAAAUGCGAUAAGUAAUGUGAAUUGCAGAAUUCAGUGAAUCAUCGAAUCUUUGAACGCACAUUGCGCCCGCCAGUAUUCUGGCGGGCAUGCCUGUUCGAGCGUCAUUUCAACCCUCAAGCCCCCGGGUUUGGUGUUGGGGAUCGGCGAGCCCUUGCGGCAAGCCGGCCCCGAAAUCUAGUGGCGGUCUCGCUGCAGCUUCCAUUGCGUAGUAGUAAAACCCUCGCAACUGGUACGCGGCGCGGCCAAGCCGUUAAACCCCCAACUUCUGAAUGUUGACCUCGGAUCAGGUAGGAAUACCCGCUGAACUUAAGCAUAUCAAUAGGGCGGAGGAAA
RNAcentral lists this ribosomal RNA (540 nucleotides) under fungal sp. WEF1. RNAcentral's name for it is "eukaryotic LSU rRNA". The stretch from base 158 to 311 matches the Rfam family "5.8S ribosomal RNA". Lineage: Eukaryota; Fungi. The record is from RNAcentral.